AACGAACGCUGGCGGCAUGCCUAACACAUGCAAGUCGAACGAUCGCUUCGGGGAUGGUGGCGCACGGGUGCGUAACGCGUGGGAACCUGCCUUUGGGUUCGGAUGAACUCGGGGAAAUUUGAGCUAAUACCGGAGAAUGUCUUCGGACCAAAGUGUUUUCGCCUUUGGGUGGGCCCGAGUUGGCUUAGUUAGUUGGUGGGGUAAAGGCCUAUCAAGGCGACGAUGCAUAGCUGGUUUGAGAGGAUGAUCAGCCACACUGGGACUGGGACACGGCCCAGACUACUACGGGAGGCAGCAGUGGGGAAUCUUGCACAAUGGGCGAAAGCCUGAUCCAGCAAUGACGCGUGAGUGAUGAAGGCCUUAGGGUUGUAAAGCUCUUUUACCCGGGAUGAUAAUGACAGUACCGGGAGAAUAAGCCUCGGCUAACUCCGUG
RNAcentral lists this ribosomal RNA (433 nucleotides) under uncultured bacterium. Its description in RNAcentral is "partial 16S ribosomal RNA". It matches the Rfam family "Bacterial small subunit ribosomal RNA", at positions 29 to 507 of the family's 1533-position model. The record is from RNAcentral.